GAUGAACGCUGGCGGCGUGCCUAAUACAUGCAAGUCGAGCGAACAGACGAGAAGCUUGCUCCUCUGACGUUAGCGGCAGACGUGUGAGUAACACGUGGAUAACCUACCUAUAAGACUGGUAUAACUUCGGGAAGCCGGAUCUAAUACGGUAUAAUCUGUUAAACCGCAUUCUGCAAUAGUAAAAGACGUUUGUGCUGUCACUUCUCGCUGGAUCCGCGCCGCAUUAGCUAGUUGGUAAGGUAACGGAUUACCAAGGAGAGGAUGCGUAGCCGACCUGAGAGGGUGAUAGGCCACACUGGAACUGAGACACGGUACAGACUCCUACGGGAGGCAGCAGUAGGGAAUCGUCCGCAAUGGGCGAAAGCCUGACGGAGCAACGCCGAGUGAGUGAUGAAGGUCUUCGGAUCGUAAAACUCUGUUAUUAGGGAAGAACAAAUGUGUAAGUAACUAGGCACGUCUUGACGGUACCUAAUCAGAAAGCCACGGCUAACUACGUG
This 497-nucleotide ribosomal RNA is filed under the name uncultured bacterium. Its description in RNAcentral is "partial 16S ribosomal RNA". It matches the Rfam family "Bacterial small subunit ribosomal RNA", at positions 28 to 507 of the family's 1533-position model. The record is from RNAcentral.